AAUUUAGAAAGCAAAGUCUUCUGAGCAUUAUUUUCUUAAAGCACCUAACUUGAAAUAUUUGAAACUUAAAAUAUAAUGUAAAAAAUUGUAUUACCAAAACUAUUGUUAAUACUAAGUCUAAAACCUUUCAGAUAUUUUAACAGUAUAUGAAUACAUUUUCUCUUUUAGAAAAUUAUUAAUCAGACAAGUUUUGCCUUCUUUUUCUUCCAACAUUCUAUUCUGUUCAGGAUUAUUUGAUUUUUCUUUCCUGUGGCUGUAUCAUGUUCCAUCUUUUUCAGCAAGCAAAAAGUGCUCUUUCCUUCAGUCUGACUUAAUUUUUUCGAAGAGUUAAGAAAUGAAAAAGAUCAGCAGAGAGGUCAAUUGUAUUUUUUUCUAUUUCCUUUUUCUCACACUCCUGUGUUUUAGUUUCCUUUCUGUU
RNAcentral lists this long non-coding RNA (418 nucleotides) under Bos taurus (domestic cattle). RNAcentral's name for it is "long non-coding RNA NONBTAT022794". Lineage: Eukaryota; Metazoa; Chordata; Mammalia; Artiodactyla; Bovidae. The record is from RNAcentral.